RNAcentral lists this long non-coding RNA (23435 nucleotides) under Panicum hallii. Its description in RNAcentral is "long non-coding RNA (PHAL_LNC000330)". Lineage: Eukaryota; Viridiplantae; Streptophyta; Magnoliopsida; Poales; Poaceae. The record is from RNAcentral.
GUAGUAAUAAAUGCGAGAAUAUUGACUUCCAUAAUCUCUUUAUUUUUUUUCACAAUAACUCGGGAUGUAAUCCCAUAGAGAGGAAAAAGGGGUAUCCUGUAAAUUUAAGGGGAGGACUUGCAUUCUGAUAAUACUGAAUCAAUUCAAUAUUAUGAAUAUUGGAUCUAUCAAAUCAAUUUAUGGUUGAUAGUGGAAUAAUAUAAUAUAGGAGGAUCCCUUAUCCAUACUAAGACCAAAAUAGGUUUUUUGAUUGGAUUCGAAACUCCCUCUAUUCUAUGUUGCAUUCUUUUCUACUUUUGCUUUUCCAUAUGUAUACCCAAAAUCCUUCUUAUCUUAUCCAAUUUCCCUUCCUUUUUCUUAUAGUUAUACAUACAAUUAUGUAUGUAUGUAUUAUAUGACCUACUUUCUAUGGGUCACAUAGACAUCCAAAUAAGGAGUAGAAGUAGAAAUGAGAUGGAGAAAAGGGUAUCUUAAAUAAAAAGGAUCCAAUAUUUAAACUUAGGAAAAAAAGUGUUUGCUUGGUUUUAUUUUAUUAGGUUACCAUCAAUAUCUGCUUUUCUUCGCAAGUCUCUCAACGCUCCACUCCUUCCUCAAGACAAAAAGCGGAAGGAUCAAGGGGACAAUGAUGAGGGUGACAAGUCAGGGGCUCAAGACUUCCAAGACCCGAAAAAUGUUGUCAAUGUCAUUUUUGGCAGAGACGGUGGCUUCCCCUCGAGGAGCGCACAGAAGCUGACCCUGCACGAAAUUCUCUCUGUCGAGCCGGCCAUACAGAAACCUCUGAGAUAUAGCGAGGUCCCAAUCUCCUUCUCUAGGGAUGACCAGUGGACUAGCUUCUCCGAGCUGGGAAAAUUCCCACUCGUCCUAGAUCCUAUCAUGGCAGGCUCACAAUUGACUCAAGUACUCAUCGACGGCGGGAGCGGCCUCAACCUGCUCAUUGCGAGUACAUUGAAGAUGAUGGGGCUGAACAUCUCCAAGAUGCUUACCCCCAGUAGAGCUCCAUUCUACAACAUCGUCCUGGGAAAUGUGGCUAUACCACUCCGCUCAGUGGCCCUGCCAGUUACUUUCGGGACGAAAGACAACUACCGCAAGGAGUACAUCAAGUUCAAGGUGGCCAACUUCGAGUCAUCAUACCACGCCAUCCUCGGCAGACCAGCUUAGGCCAAAUUCAUGGCCAUACCUCACUACGUCUACUUACUACUCAAGAUGCCAAGUAAGACAAGUGUACUCACGUUCUGUUCAAGUCAUACGACUGCAACCAAGAGGCGAUCGAGUAUGCCACGACAUCACGCAUGCUAGAACCUUUUGCGAAAGUCUUCAUGGCCAUGCAAAAGCUCACGGACUCAGAGAUGGAGAUCCCCAAUCAGAGGCCUAGCCAGUCCAGAGUAAAGCCCAACCCUAGCAACGUUGGCAUCAAGACCAUUCAGCUACAAAAAGGCGACUCAUCCAAGACUGCUUUGAUUGAAGGCGGCUUGAACGACAAAUAGGAAAGUGCGCUCAUCAGCUUCCUUAGGGCCAACCAUGAUAUAUUCGCGUGGAAACUAGCGGAUAUGCUGGGCGUGCCCAAGGAGUUGAUUGAGCAUUGCCUAAAAGUUGACCCCAAAGCCACUCCGAAGAAGCAGCGACUACGACGCUUCAUAGCAGACAAGAGGGAGGCCAUCAAGAAGGAGUUAGCAAAACUACUCACGGGUAGUUUCAUUAAAGAAGUCUACCACCCCGAGUGGUUAGCCAACCUGUACUAGUUUUGAAAGUAAAUAAUACUUCAGCUCUUCACUAAAAUAUACACCAACAAAUUUUCCCGUUGGGAAAAGUAAUGUAUUAUUUACAUUUUUUACGACAAGAAUGGGAGUUAAGUAUAAACAAUGAGGAAUGUGAGAUGCUGAAUCCUUCUGAUACUAAAAAGGUAAGGUACGAAGCUCGUUAUACCAAAAUGAAUGGAGGAUAUGUGUGGAUUACAUUGAUCUCAACAAACACUUCCCGAAGGAUCCAUUCGCGCUCCCACGCAUCGAUCAAGUCAUUGACUCUACGGUUGGCUAUGUCUUGCUCUCUUUCCUUGAUUGCUACUCGGGUUACCAUCAUAUUGCUCUCAAGGAACAAGACCAGAUCAAGACAGCAUUCAUCACCCCUUUUGGAGCAUAUGCCUGCACAACUAUAUCCUUCGGGUUGAAGAACGUAGGAGCCACCUAUCAGCGGGUGUCGGUGUUUUACCGCCUGCCCACCGAGGGGUAUACCCGAGGUGGUAAGUUUUAGGUAGGGUGACGCCGAGAUCAGGAACUCGAAGGUGCAAGCAACACUAGGUUUAGACAGGUUCGGGCCAUGAUGUGCGUAAUACCCUACGUCUUGUAUGGUGGUUUGUAUUGCCUUGGGUGUUGAUGUGUUUUGAGGGGGUCCCUGCCCGCUCUUAUAUAUCCGGGAGGACAGGGUUACAUGAAUCCCAAUCCGACACUAGCCUAGGAAUCGUACUCGAGUACAACUCGAUUAGCUUCCUUCUGCAUCGGCUAGUCCUACUUCGCAUGCGAGUAGAAUACAACACAGAUAAGGUAUAGGACAUGUCCUAUUCCCUACUCCUGUAUGAACUACGUUAUGUACGCAGUCCCGUAGUCCCGGGUCUGACAAGCCCCCGAUCUCUUUGUAGCUAAGUACUGCAGGCUCUUCAAGUACUUUCGAAGUAGUCUUCAGCUUCUUUCGAAGCUCCGUCUUGAAGUUCUUCUUCGAGUACUUCCUUGGAUGCAUCGAAGCUAUGAGGUGCUCAUGCCUCAAAUUACUUCUUUCGUUGGUGUGCGAUGAAAAAUCGCACUCCAUAUGGAGUAGCCCCCGAGCCUUAGGUUGAAUCGAAGAAUCAGGCUAAGGGUCACAUUAGUCUUGAAUCUUCCUUACUCUUCGAAUAUUUUUAAAAAAUAAAUAGUCGAUGCCAUGUAUCCCGCAGCCCCCGAGCCUUGAAUCCAAAUCUCUCAGGUUUGGAAAAAAGGAUCCAAUAGUUGUGGCAUGCAGUGAAAAAAUGUUCCCUUGGGAAAUAAUUGGUUUGAUGAUACAGAUGAUGGAAGUUAGAUUUAGAAUUCGAAAAACCCCUUUUUUCAGGAUAAUUAACCCUAAAAAAAUGAUUAAUCGAAUAAUUUAUCUAAAAAUCCACCAAAUGACCCCUCGGCUUCCGAAUAUUCCCUGUGAUGACUCUUCAAUUUCAGAAUAGUAAACCUGUAUUUGGUCGCUUUUUAUUUAACCCCGCUGUAACAUAGGGUAAAAUCCAUGCUUCCAAUCUUCAAUCCGCCGAGAAAUUUCCGAAUCCCCAAUCAGAUCCGUGCUCUGCCUUCACCUCCUUUGACAAGCCCCAAGCUAGCCGAAUCUCUCCGCCCCUUCUCUGCAGCCCUCGAGCAGCUCGUGGCAAACAGAUCUAGAAUGGUGCCCAAGAGAUCCAACGAGAAAGAUGGGAAGGGGAAGGAAUCGGAGCUGCCUUUUGGGGAGUGGACUUACAGUAAGUGCUCCAAUAACGACCUCCUGCAUCUUGUUUCUGAGGGUUUGCUUCAGGGGAACAGUCUCGUUAACUGGCACCCUUGUUUUCACCAAUCUCUUCCCAUGGAGAAUGUAGACGAAAUCGUCUCAUUCUACCAUUUCUCUGAAUGGGGUUUGGCUCUCCCCACCUGUUUCUUCUUCCGUGGCCUUGUUUACUUCUACGGGCUUGAGCUCCAUCAUCUCAACCCGAACUCUAUCUACCAUAUUGCUAUUUUCAUCCACUUUUGUGAAGCUUUCCUCAGAAUUGAACCCCAUUGGGAACUUUUCUGCUAUCUUUUCCACGUAAAGCCGCAACCCACCUCCAAAAGUCCAUCCGUUGUAGGGGGCGCUGGUGUGACAGAACCGCUUGAAUUAUUCCGGCUCAAGUGCGUAGAUCAUUGCUAUACAAGCGAUAUGACCUCAACACACUUCAGAUGGAAUAACCCAAUGGUCUGUCAGGUAACGUCCCGAUAAAACCACCGGAUUCCGGAUCGUUCAAGCGUACCUCGCACGAAGGCGAGUCCAGAUAUACAAUCACUGUUACAUUUUUACAACAUAGUCAUAGUAGUUGUUACAAACCGGUUUCUAGUAGAGUGCUGCAAUCCUAACUGAAACAAAUUUAUAUAGACAUUGUUUGAAAACUUCAAGUUUCAACAAACAUUAUUCCAAGAUGGCAGCGGAAAAGAUACAACAACGCAACUACUCGUCGCAAAGAAGGCACCAUACUUAGCCCAAAGCAUGGCGUCAUUCCAAAGGGUCAUUGCCGGCCGGGGACGGAUCCCAUUCCACGGACCAGCCAGGCGGUAAAGUGCAGGGCCAAGGAGAACUAGCAACUGAGUCCUCAAAUGACAUACCUGAAAACCACAUUACGAGCAAGGCUGAGUAUGCUAAUACUCAGCAAGGCUUACCCGUCAAUUGGGUAUACUUAGCCCAUAACUGGACCAUGAGAUGUUGAAAGGCUCUAGGUUUCUUUUGCUGAAAAACAACAAAGAGUAUAUCUUUAUUUCCAUAUUUUAGCUUUCAGAUUCUAGUUCAAUUAGCCAUUCUAAGUGAGCAUCUAUACUAGACAAGCAAGUUAGGUAUUAAAUCAUACAUCAAUAUUAUUCCACCAACUGUUGCUCUUGUUACUCUAUGUGGCAGAAGUAUCAAGCAGUCUCACUCACCGCGAGAAACGGAUGAUUCCUGAAUCGAAUUUCUUAACCUUGCAAGCGAUCCUAACUCACACGCUCGGAACUUUCCUUUCCGGGCAACCAUUCCCCUCAUAUUUUGGGUCGUGGAUUAGCGCCACCACACGCGACUGUAGGACCAUACGCACAUCCAAUGUGCAGGACGUACGUCUACAGCGCGACUGUAUGACCGUACUCCUGUCUGCUAUGCAAAAUGUACUCCCACACGUUGGUGCGUGUGUACAUAAACCAAAAUUCGAGUGGUGGGGGAUAUGUCCACUUGCCGGGCCAAUCAGGUACUAGGCUUACCGCGUACCAUAUUUACGGUUUGUGGCUAGUACUUUCAAACACUUGACCACCACUACCACACAUUACGGCCUUAUCAAAUUGAUCAACACAGACGGGUACCAUCCCAUGUCAUGGUACUGCACAUAACCCCGUCCGUGAUCCUUAUAGUGAUUGCAAAAUAGUAAACAAUCAAUUCCUAUAUCGCGCGAGUGAUAGAAAAUCACUCGACUUCUACUGGUCCUAUUAGCAAAGCAUCUACUCGAUAAGGACUCAGAAAUAUUACAUAGGUUCCUAGGUUUCAUGCAACUAGGGUUUCAUAACAACUCCUAGCACUUAAUGCACAAGAUAGAUAUAUAACAAUAAAAGUGCAUAAUGUUAAAUUACUGGGUUAUGCACCGGGGCUUGCCUUCACUGGUGAGGCUGGGGUCAGUGAUAUUAGUAUCUUCUGAACCUGGGUUCAGGGCUUCAGAAAGACCCUUGGUGACAUUUACUUGAGCUUCAGAAAUACCCUCGUCGGGAUCCGGGAUUAGAUCGUAGGUACCGUCGGCAAGUGUAGUCAAAUCUACAUGAUAUUUAAUUAUUUGAAGCAAAUGGUUAUUAUUUUAUUUUCACGAUAAAGUUGAAAUCCAACAAGAAUAUAUUCAAUAUAUCACUUCAAGACUUAACUAAUUUGUACAAACAACAGAAAGAUUUGAAACUAAACUUAAGUAGAGUUUUUGGUGUAAAAACUUUGUUCAAAACAGUUAUUUGGUGAAGGUUACAGAGCUGAUCUGAUCUACUUAACAGCAUGUUCUUCAGACAGUUUAUCUAGCUGAUUGGGGUGUGCAUCGAAAAAGUCUGAUCUGUGCAUACGGCAUCGACUGUGUUUAGCCGAUUGAAGUGUCCUAUAUCAGCUGUGCCUUAGCCGAUACCUGCCUGAGGUGUUAACCUGCGUAUCUACUUGUGCACGCAUCGGCUUGAUUUUUCUUUGGCAAAAGUAGCCGAUAGAGGUGUAGCCGAUCGACGUAUAGUCGAUGAGCGUGUGGUCGAUGGGUGUGUAGCUGACAGGCAUGUAUUUUGCAAACAAGACCCUAGAAAGAAACAGAGACUUGCAUUUGGGUCCCUAAUUGAUUUGAACAGAAGAAGUCCAGCAACGGCGAUUAAAAUUCGGUGAGGAGACUCACCGGUGGUGAGGUUAAGGUGGGGAAAAAGGUUCAGGAGCUCACGGCGGACUUGGGGGUGGCUGGAAUCGUAGAAGGGAAGCUUGGAGGCGGCGGUUCGACUAGAUACAGAGCCGGCGCGGUGAGGUUCCGAGGGCGGCGAUGGUGUUCCGGCGACUGGAGUGCAGGAAGGUGAAGGAAAUUGGUCAGGGAGCUUCGGCGUGGAGAUGUGGUGCUGAUGGUGCCCUUGGCGAAGGAGGAGAAGGGGUGGAACUUUGGUAAAACUAGAAUUAGAACGGCGGCGGAGAGUGAGAUCGCUGGCGCGAUGUUCUGGGCUUGGUGUGCGCGGAAGGAGGAAGAAGAGUGGAUCAGGAAGGGGCAGUCAGAUGCGGUGGUGCUGGUGGAGCACGAAAUUGGAGAGGAGAAGCGGCGGAGACGGUUGACGGCGGUGGACAGAGGAGCUCCGGCGAAGUAGUCGAGCGGAGAAGAGAACAGGAAUGCGGGUGCCCGCGAGGGGAUAGAAGAAAGGAGAAGGUUACUGGGCGCAUUUCCAAGCUAAAAAGAGGUGUGCGGGCGGGCGGCAAGCAGCUGCUGGUGGUCGACGGCGUGCAUGGUGGCUCAGGCAGGCAGCGGCGCGACGCGUUUGCGUGAGGAGGAGCCAGCGGGGUCGGUUAAGCGGCGGGCGGGCGAGCUGGGGCCAGGUGGUGCAGGAAGAGCGGCGAAGGGGCAGCUGGCGGUCGGGGAAAAUGCCGGCGAUGGGUGGUGGGUGGCGCUGCAAAGAAACAGAGAGGGGGAAGCAGGAGGAAGAAGAUGAGGACCUGUUAGUAAAUUUUGCAAAAGUUCAAGGAGUUCAGUCAAAAAUAAAAUUUUAUUCCAAACUAUAGCUCUAAUGAAAAUAUGCCCAAAAUCAAAAGUGUAGAGCUUAAAAAUAUCUACCACUUUGCUUUAGGGUCUAACUUAAGAAGAGUUAGGGUUUUGAAAUUACAUUUAAAAAUCAACAAAUCAUUCAAUUUUAAAUAAAUCCAAAAUAAGUUUUACCCUUUCAAUGAAGCCUUGGAGUAUUUACACUUCUUACAGUGGUUAAAGAGUGAAAACUCAUGUUUGCAAAUUAACCAUUCAUAUUUUUGAAAUUACCUCCCAUUUAUACACAAUUUACAAAAAGAACCCUAAUUUUUCCCAAUAUUACAAAAAUACCCUUUAACGUGUUUUUAAGUUUUUAAAGGCAUUCAUCAAAACAAACACAAACUUCACACUAACAAGCUCAACUUCAUACUAAAAAUUAGCGUGCCUAGCUCCUAAGUACCUGAAAUGUCACAGCCUCUCUCCCUAAAAAGAAUCUCGUCCUGAGAUUCCAGAACAGAAGGGAAUUGAAAGAUUAGAUACUUGGUUUCGCUCUAAGGAAGUCUGGAAAGUUGUGCUGAAGAUAAGACUCAGUUUCCCAAGUCACUUCUUCUUCAGUAUGAUAGUUCCAUUGGAUCUUAAACAUCCUGACUGUCUCUCUUCUUGUGGUUCUCUCUUUAGUAUCCAGUAUUCUGAUCGGAUGUUCAGUAUAAGAUAGGUCUGGCUUGAUUUUGAUGGGUUGGAAAUUGAUGACCUCGGUAGGGAUUUUGAUGCAUUUCUUAAGCUGAGAUACAUGGAAGAUAUUAUGAAUGGCUGCUAGCUGGUAAGGAAGUUGAAGACGUUAAGCUACGGGUCCACAAGUUUCAAGAAUUUCAAAAGGUCCAACGUAUCGAGGAGCGAGUUUUCCUUUCAUACCAAACCGUUGAACACCUCGGGUAGGAGAUAUCCUUAGGUAUACAAAGUCACCAACUUCAAAUUGCAAUGGAAGAUAUUAUUUUGAAUGAUCUUCACUUUUUCUUCUACUUCAGUGACAAGAUCAGGUCCAAAAAUUUUACGUUCGCUGGUUUGAGACCAAUUCAAAGGAGUUCGGCAUCGGCGACCGCAUAAUGCUUCAAAAAGAGCCAUUUUGAGACUCAACUGAUAACUAUUAUUGUAGGAGAAUUCUGCCAAGGCUAAGCAUUUGUCCUAAUUUUUGUCAUAUUGGAUUACACAGGCUCUAAGCAUAUCCUCUAGGAUUUGAUUUAUCCUUUUCGUUUGUCCAUCUAUUUGCAAAUGAUACACGGAGCUUCGAAUUAAUUUUGUUCCAAGAGAGUGUUGGAGUUGCUCCCAGAAACGAGCAAUGAACUGUGCUCCAUGAUCAGAGAUGAUUGUCUUAGGUAUUCCAUGGAGACGAACGAUUUGGUCUAGAUAGAUCUCGGCAUACUUCUUAGCAUUGUAAGUAGUAUGCACGGGAAGGAAAUGGGCGGUUUUGGUUAAUCGAUCAACGGUUACCCAAAUAGAAUCAUGCCUCCGGGAAGUGUUGAGUAAGCCAACGAUGAAAUCCAUGCUGAUAUCUUCCCACUUCCAAGAAGGAAUGGGUAAAGGUUGAAGAAUACCAGCAAUUUUUAAGUGACUGGCUUUAACUCUUUGGCAAAUAUCACACUCAGAGACAUAUCUUGUAAUUUCUCUUUUCAUGCGAGUCUACCAAAAGUUUUGUCUCAGGUCUUGGUACAUUUUGGUACCGCUAGGGUGCAUAGAGAACUUGAAUAGAUGUGCCUCAUCUAAAAUCUGCUUACGAAGCUGAUGGUCCUUGGGUACAACAAUACGUCCCUUGAACCAUAGAAUUCCUUUGUGAUCUACUUGAAAACACUUAUACUUUUCUUCUCCCGAGCUAGCUGUUGUUUGAUGAUUUUGACUCCUUCAUCAUGUAGUUGUGCCCUAAUAAUACUAUUUUGAAGUGUGGGUUCAACUGCUAUAUGAUUCAAACUACCUUGAGGAAUAAUCUCAAGAUUAAGCUUUCUCAUUUCCUAGCAGAGAGUUUCACUGAUGCUUCUAUUGAUAAGCAAUGGCAACGCGCUUUGCAGCUGAGUGCAUCCGCAACCACAUUGGCUUUGCCUGGAUGAUAGUGCACUUCCAGAUCAUAAUCUUUUAUAAGCUCUAGCCAACGUCUUUGUCUCAUAUUUAGAUCUGCCUGUGUAAAAAUAUACUUGAGACUCUUAUGGUCAGUGUAAAUGUUACACUUAGUACCCAUAAGAUAGUGUCUCCAGAUCUUAAGCGCAUGGAUAACGGCUGCAAGCUCAAGAUCAUGGGUAGGAUAGUUCUAUUCAUGAGUCCUAAGUGCUCGUGAGGCAUAAGCAAUUACUCGGUUGUUUUGCAUGAGUACACAACCAAGUCCGAUGCCCAACGCAUCGCAAUAGAUAUCAAAUGGUUUGGAAUUAUCUGGCUGAGCCAAAACUAGAGCAGUAGUGAGGUGUGCUCUUAGAGUGUGGAAUGCCUCUUCACAUUUCUCAUUCCAGGAGAAUUUAACUCCUUUCUUCAGCAAUUCUGUCAUUGGCUUGGCUAUUUUAGUGAAGCCUGGGAUGAAACGAUGGUAAUAGCCAGCAAGACCAAGAAAACUACGGAUCUGAUGGACUGAAGUAGGGGGCUUCCAAUCCAUCACUUCCUAAACUUUACUUGGAUCAAUAGAUAUACCGUCAUUGGAGAUGGUGUGACCCAAAAAUUUAACUGUAUCUAGCCAAAAUUCACAUUUGGAGAAUUUGGCAUACAAGUGGUGUUCUCACAAUCUCUAAAGAAUAAUAUAAAGAUGUCUAGCUUGAUCUUCUAGAUUUUUGGAAUAGAUCAGAAUAUCCUUGAUGAAUACUACGACGAAUUUAUCAAGCUCUGGCAUAAAGACAGAGUUCAUGAGAUACAUGAAAUAUGCUGGGGCGUUGGUAAGGUCAAAAUACAUAACUAGAUAUUCAUAAAAUCCAUAUCUGGUGGAGAAUGCUAUCUUUGGGAUGUCGCUGGGCUUAAUCUUUAUCUUGUGAUAUCCAGAGCAAAGGUCAAUUUUGGAGAAUACCUUGGAUCCAGCUAAUUGAUCGAACAAGAUGUCAAUACGGGGAAGAGGAUAUUUGUUUUUGAUGGUUACUGUAUUGAGGGGGCGAUAGUCCACAUAUAGUCUGAGUCUAUGGUCCUUUUUCUUUACAAACAAAGCUGGGCAUCCCCAUGGUGAAGCACUUGGAUGAAUAAAACCUUUAUCAAGAUGGUCCUAAAGUUGAACUUUUAAUUCUGCCAGCUCAUUGGGUGGCAUACGAUAGAGUCUUUUAGAGAUGGGGGCUGUACCGGGUUGUAACUCUAUAAUAAACUCAAUAUCCCUAUCAGAAGGCAUCCAGGGCAAAUCAUCUAGAAAAACAUCUGGGUAAUCACAUACGACAGGGAUGUCCUCAAGCUUGAUCCCUUCUAUGGUAUAAACGCAAGAAUCGAUAUAUUUCCACUGUGGAAGAUAUAGAAUAGUAGCCUUGUAAUCAGGUGAGUCUAUCUCAACCGCUCAGGAAGAGAUAUCUAAUGAUAUGGUGCCUAGUUAUCUAAUCCAUACCUAGUAGGAUAUCCAUUCCUUCUAGGUUUAGCAAAAUUAAAUCUGUCUUUAUCAGGUUGCUACCCAUUUGAAUUGGCACAUCUCUACAGAUUUGAUUUGAAGCAAUUUUACCGCCAGGAGUCACUAUCAUAUAUGUUCCUUUAGUAUGAUAGAAAUCCAAGCCUACUUUUGUUCCAAAUGUUGGACUGAUAAAGCUAUAGGUUGCACCAGAAUCAAAAAGUAUAACUGCAAGUUGAUGGUGUAUAGUGAAAGUACCCAUCAUUAUUGGUGCACCCUCAGAAAGUUUGGAGAGAGUUGUGAAAUUCACCCUCCCUUGGCGGACUUGUAUAGUUUGCUUCUUGUCUCUACCCUUGCUGCUCGGGUUGGAAGUCUGCCCUUGGAAUGAUUUCCUAGGUUGAGGACAAUUUUUGGUAAAAUGCGAUGAACUGCCGCAAUUGAAACAAUGAUUGUUGUUGUUUCCCUGGUUGAACUGCGGAAAGUUCGGCCUUAGUCCAAGCUGUUGCUGCUGAUGUUGAGGCUGAGGCACUGGUGGCCUGUUGAAUCUAGACUGCUGAGGGGAUCUAGCUACCCAUCUGCCUGAUAGAUUGUUCCAGGGUGGGGCUCGUGGAGAUGUAUUCUGGACUAACCGAUACCUCGGGGGUUGAGCACUCGAGGGUCCAGUGGGUAUCUUCCGCUUCUUCUCAGCCCAAUGGGCUGAAACACAAUCUUCCUGAGUAAUUGCCAUGUUGACUAGCUCAUUGAAGGUGUCUGUCUUAACAAGAUUCAGUCGUUCCUUAAGCUUGGUGUUCAGGCCACGACGGAAACGAUCUCGCUUCUUGGCAUCGGUGUUUGCAUGAUAACCUGCAUAUUGACACAGAUAAUUGAAGGCCCGUGCGUACUGCAUUACGGUGCGGGUUCCCUGGGUAAGAGCUAAAAAUUCAUUGAGCUUCCACUCAAUGAGCCCUUCAGGAAUAUGAUGCGCCCUAAAGGUGGUCCGAAACUCUUCCCAUGUGACUACAUGUCCAUCUGGCUGCAUGGCAUAAUAAUGAUCCCGCCAAAUGCGAGCAAUGCCAUGAAGCUGCUGUGCUGCAAAGAUUGCCUUGUUUGCUUCGGAGCAUGGUGUGGAUAGUAGUGCGAAUUUCAACUCAAUAUUGCGGAGCCACGCAUCCGCAUCAAGAGGCUCUUCGAUCUUAUGAAAAAGUGGAGGCUGUGUGCUAAAGAAAUCUUGGUAACUAGCAGAGGGAUGUUCAUCACGACCUCAUUGCUGAUGAUGGAACUGGUUCUGCUGUGCCUGCACUAGCUGAUCAAGGAGUUCAGUCUGUCAUGCCAUUACUUCUGCUAGAUUUGGUGGUGGUGGCGGCGGUUGUUGGGAACCGCUAGCCUGGUCCAUCCUGAAACCUUCAGGGGUUCCACGCGUAGCGCCAACCAUCUGAAGAAUGGAAGAUGUCCAUUAGAAAUCACCAAUACUUGCUUCCAUUUUCAGGAAUAUACCGCACAAAAAUAAAAUAUAUGGAAAUAGUGCAACAGAGAGAUAGCUCAAUAGAUAACUGGACAGGAAACUUAGGCUAUAGAUCAUAAACUGAUGGUCAUUACUAUGUUACAUCGCGGUAGUCUACUAACUACAAAUCAAGCCAUGCCUACACAUGUCACAUAUAAUACAACAAGUGGCCCUUAGGUCAAACAAGACUGCUCUCUCCCUAUAUCACACUAUACUACACUAAGUACAUCUAGAAGGUUGAUGAUUUGGAAAAGACUAGAAAUCGUCGAGGUUGCCCACAGACGACUGGCUGCUAGAAGAAGAACGAUUGGGCUGAGGAUUAGGUUCGGGAUCUCCAUGCUCGGAAUCAAGAUCGGAAACUCCUUCAAUCUCUUUCGGGUCUUCUUCUUCAUCUUCACUUUCAGACUCUUCAGGUGUGACAGGAGGUACUGGCUGCUCAUGAAGCAUAUCGAUAUGGGCGAUGGCGUCGUCAAGCUCAAGACUAAGGUCAUGGACUUGCUCUUGGAGAAACUCGAUGACAGUGUUGUGCUGAAUGAUUAAUGUAUCACUCUCAAUGAUCUGAUCCUCUCGGUGAGUGAUGGUUUCGUCCCGCUGUGCGAUAACCUCAUCUUUAGCAGUGAUUGUGGCUUGGAGCUCUUCAAUUUGAGUAAUCUGCUGGUUAAUAUUUCUUUGAUAACCUUGAGCUAUACUGGUCAUUUGGCUCAUACCGUGGCGCUGAAGUAUCUGAUGACGAUAUUGUGCAUUCAUAAACCUGACGGUAGCACGUAGGGUCUCUUCUGUCAAAUCUCCCAAUAAGUGUCCAAAAUGGGAUACUCGAAAAGUCCACUCCGGGUCACGAGAAUCUACUGCAGGGAACAAACCAAUAGGAUACCUGGCAACUUCAUCUGGAUGCUGGUCACAGAAAAUGUUGAUGGCUUCAAGAGCUGCAUCUUCAAAAGUGUCUGCUAGACGGUGACCAACCAUAUCAAUCUCAAUGGGCUGCCACAGGGAUCGCGAUGAAUGCGGGGGAAUAGUCAUCUUCACUCUGCACCGAGGAACACCAUCUUCACUAUACUCCACUCCAUCAUAUUGCGGUGGCUCGGUGUAGCUAAACAACUGAAGUGACUCCCACAAGAGACAUGGAAAACCCUCCCAAUGCAAGGCAUUGGUGUGAGCAUGUCCCUCAUGGUCCCAAAAGAUCUUUAGAAAAUCUGCCAUCUAAAGCAAAGAUUCAAAUGGUAAGGUUGCAAGUUUUCAAGAAAAAUGCUUUGAGAAAACUACGGGAAAAAUGUGAGUCAGACUCAUGGAAUAGCUAGGAUGCAACUACCCUGUUGAGAACUCACAAGAUAAAUGGAACGAGACAACCGAUUCUGGUAGUAGCAAAGGCUAGAAAUCAGAUAGAUGAUAUAGAUCUUGAGGAUGAAACAAAAGAUGCCGAGAUACUAAACCCUAAGGUUGUCUGUAUGACCAUUUCAAAACUGCACCUAUGAUAAGCAACACUCUAGAUAGCCUUAAAACAACAAGCCAUUAAUUCAUUCACUUUGUUUAAUCAUGAAGUAUGCAUGCACGUACUACUUGUCCUCACAACCAAAAACAAUUGCCAAAUUUUUUUGAACUUACGUGGUUAGUUUCAGUAGCAUAGUAUAUAUACGUCUCUUCCUAUAAUAGCUAGUCGAGAGAUCCUAUUUGUUUAGAGCCUAUCGAGUUGGGGUUAGCGUACCUACAGAAAAAUCAUAUAUAUCAUGAACCUUUCAUGCCAGCACGUCAUGAAAGCGUUCCCAAAAUUACUGUUCACUUAUAGAAAUAGCAUCUGUACAAUUCUCGCUGUACAGACGAUGUUAACAUAUGUUACUUGUGACAGUUCAUGUAUUUUUAACGUUAGAUAUAUAUUUUGUUAGUGUAAAAUAUGUGUUUGUUAGUAUAAAGCUUGUGUGUGUUUGUGUGAAACUUUUGAAAAUUUAAAAGUGCAAGUAAAAAGGGUAUUUUUGUAAUUAUAGAAAAACCUAGGGUUGUUUUUGUAAAAUGUAUUGGAUAAGGGUAAUUUCAAAAUAAGUGAAAGGUGGUUUUGUAAAUAUGUUUUUCUUACUUUAUUCCCUGUAAAAAAUAUAUAUUUAUUCGAAAGUUGUAUUUGAAAUGUGGGUGUUGAAGUGUGUAAAAAAUUUUGGGUAAAGUGGUAAGAAUAAGGGUAUUUAUGUAAUUUUAUAAAAGUACAAGUCCUUUUACGCAAGUAUUUGAUUUACAAAAGUAACUUUUAAAUUUACUCAGGACUAAAGUGUAAAAGUGCAAGUCAUCAUGACAUGUCUAUCCAAUCAUUAUGAUAAGUCUAUCCCGUCAUUAUGACGUGUCAUAAAUGCUUGCAUUUAAGUCCUGAAUUUUAUAAAGUUUCGCCCUUUAGGACAAAAGCAAUUCAAAUCCGACUUUUGUUCAAAGAUUUACAUGUAAAAAUAUAAAUUUUGAGUUUUUGAACUUGGGCCCUAAAGCAAUGUUGUAGAGUUUGAAAAACUCUCCAACUUUCAUUUUGGGCAUUUCUUCAUUAGGGUUUUAAAUCGAUAGGAAAUUUUACUUUACAAACAGGUCCCUGCAGUUUUCUGAUUUUACAUAUAAGCCCUUGAGGAAAUUCAACUGUCUUUCUUCUCUCUUCUACCUUAUCCUGGCGCCUACCUUCUUCUUUAUCCCCAACCGGCAGCACUGUCCAAUCCCGUUUUCCCCUCUCUUUUCUCCAUUGGUGUUCCCCUGCCUUCCUCUCUCUCUCCUCCAACCAGGCAAGGCGGCGUGGGGGCUUGGCUCUGGGCGAGCACGGCCCCAGGCGGCGCAGCACGUGGGGCCAGCCCGAGUGGCGGGUGGCUCCCAGGCGCGGCCGGGCGCUCUGCAGGCGGCGCAUGCGGCCCAGGCGAAGGCCGGCGGCACAGGCGAAGCGCACAGGGAGGCGGCAGGCGCUGCGCAGGGCGAGGCCCAGGCGAGGGCGAGCGCGGCCCCAGGCCAGGCGGAGGCGCGCAGGGCUGGGCGCAUGCGGCAGUGCGCAGGGCCGAGCGGGUGCGGUACUGGCGCUGGGCGGCAGAGCUGGUCGGUCAGAGCGCGGGCGACGUGCGGGUGCUUGCGGCGCGGCAGCAGGCGGUUGUGGCGCAUGGGAGCGAGUGGCUCUGCGGGUGGCGCUGGAGGCCGGUGCACGGCGGGCGCGGGAGCUGGGCUUGGCGGCGCGCAUGAGCUAGCGGCACAGGAGUGGAUCCAGGCGUGGAGACGCACGGGAGCGAGCAGAGGCGCGAACGCGGAGCGAGCAGGAGCAACUGGCGACGAUGUGCAGGGAAGUUGCGUGCGCGAGGGUGACGUGCGGGAGCCGAGCGCAGGAGCAACUGGCGACGAUGUGCAGGGAAGUUGCGUGCGCGAGGGUGACGUGCGGGAGCCGAGCGCAGGAGCGAAGCUGACGGCUUCAGGCGAACAGACGGCGCUAGCUCGCGGGCGUUGGGCGAACAGGAGCUGGAGCGCAGCGCAGUGGAAGCAGCCCGUCGGUUCGGGAGUGGCGCGGAUAGGAGCGAAGGCUGGUGAUGCGGACGCACGGAUCGAGUAGCACGUGCGCGGCGAAGCAAAGUGGGCGCUGUUGCGUGGAUGCGCGGGAAUGACACGGCAAGGCUGGAGCAAGCACGGCGUAGAUGUAGGUGGCGUGGGCAUGUGAGUGCAGGAGCAGGACUCGAGCGGAGAUGGAAGGCCUGGAGCGAGCAAUGAAGUGCAGGGCGGUUUCAGACGCGAGAGCAGCAGCGCGAUACGGGCCAAGGACGCGCGCGGCUCGGACAUGUGCAGAUGUAACGCGGCGAGGCCGAAGCGAGCGGGUGACCAACAGCGGAAGAAGGAGGAAGAUCUAUGCAGGGCAACAACGUACAAAGCGGCGGCGCGCAACGCAUGACGGAGUUCCCACUGGGUGAGCUCAGGCCGCGAUCGAGCUGGUGUGCAGGAGGGUCGCGCGUGAUGGACAUUAGAGACCGUCGAGGAAAACACAGCGGAAGGCACGGUCCUAAUACAGGUUGACCACAGUCCUCGCGGAGGCAGAAAGGGCGAGUGUGGCGUAGCGAAGCAAAAGUGAAGGUUCGUACGGAUCUGGACUAGUACGUCCGCGGAUACGAGCGAGAGUGUUCUACUAGUGGCCGGCUCAACUCAAUUCAGCAAGCGCGUGCGUGUACAAGACAACAAGCCAUCUUCCACCCACGACAACCCUCCCCGACAAACUUCUUUGUCAUCCACGGGAUCUCAUCAUCGUCGAGCUUUUCUCUUCGCCGAUCCUGUUCGCCACGGGAAUCCACUUUUUACCCGUUCUUCCUCCACAUCUGAAACUACCCCAAGGUUUGCCCUAGUUCACUGAAUCUUCUUAAUGCCGGCGACUCCUUUGCCGGAAUAUCGUUGUUAUCUUCCUGUUAUCUAUUUUCCCGGACCAGGGACUUGACUGCCAUGUUUUAGAAAAUUCUACGGUGUUCUUUGUAAUAUUUCCAAAGCUUUUUGUAUUUCAAAUCGAUGAACUUCUACCUUUCAUAGAUUUUCGUAGGAAGUUCAUAAAAAUGUAAAAUCAGUUUUGUUUGAAACACUAAGUCAAGCUCUACAAGUUUUACGUCGCGAUCUUGAAUUGAAGUCUUUGAUGUGUGGUCUAGGUCAUAUGUUAGGAAAUGAAUAUUUAAUUGUGCUUUAUAUUGAAUGCUUGUAUUAUAGCUGAAAAGUAAGCCAUAGAAUGUAUGUCUUAAAUAGAAAUGUGUGAUAUCUAACUAAUCCUUUCCCACGAAGUGCUCAUAUCCCUACCCUCAAGACAUUGCUCUCGUCUUGAUUGCAAUCUCCUUAAGGCCCUUUUCGUAUAAGAAUCUUUGAUUAGUUCAUGUGCAUCUGCUGCUUAGCUACUACAUCUCGGCAGCUGUGCUUCAGUGUCAAGCUAUCAGCUCAGCCGCUAAGCAUCUGUUUCCUUUGAGUUUAGAAUACUUCUGUGUAACAGUUAUCAGCCGAUGCAUUUCUUUUGAUAUGCUUCUACCAUCGGCUGGUUGACUGAAACGGUUGUUACCUUUCUAGUAUCGGCUACUGCCCAUAACAUUCUGUUGUUCCGUCCUACAUCGGCUAUCACAUAGCCGAUCAAUUUAAGGUGCACACACGAUCUUAGGGUUCUUGCUAUCGACCGAUCCAAGCCAAUUCUAGUCGUUUUCCGUAUCGGUUAAAUAUGGCCGAUCAAUCCUUAGUUUCCCCAUCCUUAUCCACACACUUCUAUCAGUCGAUUUAUCAACUGAGAGGUCGGCUAUAUACUUAUCGGUCACAUACCCUCAACCACACUCCAAUCGGCUAUACGUCACUCAACAGUUAUGCUGACGUAAUCGAGUCGAUACAAUCACACUUAGUUACCUAGAAUAACACUUAAGCACAUCUUAGUUAAGACAACUGCUUUAGAAAUAUCCCUCUGCUGAAGUAAUCAAUGCUUCCAUCGAUCAUCUAAGAACCCGAUGCACACAUCAAUCGGCUAAACCUUUGUUGUUUCCAAUCAGCUCCAUUGUGACCCUCAACAAGUAGCCGAUUCUAAUUAGUUAUCCCUCUAAAGCUCUAUCUAAGUUUAGUUUUAGAUCUUUUUGGGUGUAAUGUGAAUUAUGUGUUAUAUGAGUGUUGAAUUGCAAUUGUAUUGUAAAGUAAGAUAGUUUCACAUGCACGUUUUGAAUGUAAUGUCGCAUUGCAUGUAGAUACAAUUACUUCGGCAACGGUAUCUACGAGAUCUCCCCGGAGUCUACGGAGGAUGUUCCUGAAGUUCAAGUAAACGUCACCAAGGGAUUAACUGAAGCCCCGAACCAAAGUUCGGAAGAUAUUGACAUUUCUGACUUCAGCCCCACCAGUAAAGGCAAGCCCCGGACAUAUCCCACUACUUUAUUUACUCUGCAAUAUAUGUCUAUCUAUAUUAUAUCUUGCAUCAAGUCUUGGAAUUGAAGUGAAACCCUAGAUGCAUGAAUCCUAGGAAUCCAAUGUAAUGCUCCUGAGUCCUUAUCGGAUAGAUGCUCCGCUAAUAGGACCGAUAGAAGUCGGGUGAUUUCCUGUCACUCGCGCGAUAUAGGAGUUGCUUGUUUACAAUUCUGCAACCACUAUAAGGAUGACGGACAGGGUCAUGUGCUGUAUCAUGACCUUGAAGUUUACCCUGUCUGUUUCGUUAAAAGUUGAUAAGGUCGAUAUGUGUGGUAGUGGUGGCUAAGCGUUUGAACAGUACUAGCCAUAUGCCGCAAAAUAUGGUAAAGCGGUAAGCCUAGUAACCAAUCGGCCCGGUAAGUGGACAUACCUCCCACCACUCGAUCUUUAUGUUAUGUUCACACGCACCGACCUGUGGGAGUACGUUCUGCAUGGCAGACAGGAAUACGGGUUUUGUAGUCGCGCUACAGACGUAUGUCCUGCACGAGUGAUGUCCGUACGGUCCUACAAGUCGCUUAUGGUGGCCUGUCCACGAGUCGGAAUGAAAGGUAUACGGUUGCUUCGGAACACCCGGUUGGUGUUCCAAGCGUGUGUGUUAGGUUUACCUUGCAAGGUUGAAUUUCGAUUCAGGAAUCGUCCGCCUCUCACGAUGCAUGAGACUGCUUAUCCCUUUUACCACAUUGAGUAAGAAGUGUAACAAAUGAUGGAUAAUCUUGAUGGAUGAUAAUCACCACCUUACUUGCUUAGUGUAGGUGCUAAUCUAGAAUAAAUACUCAACUAGAAUCUGAAAGCUAAAAUUUGAAAGUAGUUAUACUCUUUGUUGCUUUUCAGCUGAAAAUAAACUCAGAGCCCCAUAUGAUACCUUCAUGAGACUAGUUAUGGGCUAAAGUAUACCCAAUCCCGGGUAAGCCUUGCUGAGUAUUAGAAUACUCAGCCUUGCUAGUUUUAUGUUUUUCAGGUAAAGCCUUUGAAGAUCCUACUCUUCCCCUGUCUUGGCCCUGUGCUCUUCCAGAUGGUUGGUCCGUGGAAUGGGAUCCGUCCCCGGCCAACAUUGAUGAAACCGAGUGAUGUCGUGCCCGGGCUUAGCAUGACAUCCAUCUUGACGGCGUGUUGUGAAUCGUCGCGUAUGUUUUCCGCUGCUAAAAACCAUAACUUUAACAGUUUGUAAUGUUUUCUCUAAAUUUGAAACUUUGCACUAUUGUUGGAAACUCUUGUAACGUAAUUCUCUGUGAUGUAAAAUAUGGUGGUGACUGUAUCUCUGGACUCACCUUCGUGUGAGGUAACCUUAUUGAUCCUGUGUUCGGUGGUUUAUCGGGACGUUACCCGACAGGCCAAGGGAUUAUACCGUUUGAAGCACGUUGGAGCCCUCGGGAAUGUACUCACAUACUUGAGCCGGUAUAAUUCAGGUUGGUUCUGCCACAUUACUUUCGCAACGUAUUCACAGGAUACCGUAUAAAAUAGGGGUAUGAACAGCGAUCACCAUACCUCUUGCCUAACCAUAUACUCCCAAUAUAAUCAACUUAUCGUUGGUAUAUUGGCAGCAUCUCAAGUAAGCCACUGCUUGAGAAUCAGCGUUCAGUUCGCAUCACCGACGGGAAGGCCAAGCUCUCUCAGUUGGCUGAGGAUCCUUACCCGCUUAUCUCAUCAUCGAAUGCGUCGUUACAGAAUAUAAAAUUGAUUGUGCUCGAAAGUAAGUUUUUACAGAAAUGUAGUGCUGGAAGUUAGAGUAGUACUAUAAGCGUACUGUGUAUAUAUAUUAGUAGCUACCUAAUAAUUCCCAUAUAAACCCCUAAGGCUUUAUGUACUAAGCACAAUUCUUAACGAAACCAACGUAAUAUAUUUUUUUACAAAAUACUUUGUUGGUCCAAUUUUAUUCUAAAAAUAUUUUUACGGUCAAUCAUAUCUCCGGUGUACACUUGUUAGCUCUGAUACCAGACUGUGGCAGAACCGCUUGAAUUAUUCCGGCUCAAGUGCGCAGAUCAUUGCUAUACAGGCGAUAUGACCUCAACGCGCUUCAAACGGAAUAACCCAAUGGUCUGUCGGGUAACAUCCCGAUGAAACCAACGGAUUCCGGAUCGUUCAAGCGUACCUCGCAUGAAGGCGAGUCCAGAGAUACAAUCACUAUUACAUUUUUACAACAUAGUCAUAGUAGUUAUUACAAACCGGUUUCUAGUAGAGUACUGCAAUCCUAACUGAAACAAAUUUAUACAGACAUUGUUUGAAAACAUCAAGUUUCAACAAAAAUUAUUCCGAGAUGGCAGCGGAAAAGAUACAACAACACGACUACUCGUCGCAAAGAAGGCACCAUACUUAGCCCAAAGCAUGGCGUCAUUCCGAAGGGUCAUUGCCGGCCGGGGACGGAUCCCAUUCCAUGUACCAGCCAGGCGGUAAAGUGCAGGGCCAAGGAGAACUAGCAACUGAGUCCUCGAAUGACAUACCUGAAAACCACAUUACUAGCAAGGCUGAGUAUGCUAAUACUCAGCAAGACUUACCCGUCAAUUGGGUAUACUUAGCCCAUAACUAGACCAUGAGAUGUUGAAAGGCUCUAGGUUUCUUUUGUUGAAAAACAACAAAGAGUAUAUCCUUAUUUCUAUAUUUUAGCUUUCAGAUUCUAGUUCAAUUAGCCAUUCUAAGUGAGCAUCUAUACUAGACAAGCAAGUUAGGUAUUAAAUCAUAUAUCAAUAUUAUUCCACCAACUAUUGCUCUUAUUACUCUAUAUGGCAGAAGUAUCAAGCAGUCUCACUCACCGCGAGAAACGGACGAUUCCUGAAUCGAAUUUCUUAACCUUGCAAGAGAUUGUAACUCACACGCUCGGAAACUUUCCUUUCCGGGCAACCAUUCCCCUCACAUUCCGGGUCGUGGAUCAGCGCCACCACAAGCGACUGCAGGACCAUACGCACAUCCAAUAUGUAGGACGUACGUCUACAGCGCGACUGUAUGACCGUACUCCCAUCUGCUAUGCAGAACGUACUCCCACACGUUGGUGCAUGUUUACAUAAACCAAAAUUCGAGUGGUGGGGGAUAUGUCCACUUGCCGGGCCAAUCAGGUACUAGUCUUACCGCGUACCAUAUUUACGUUAUGUGGCUAGUAUUUUCAAACACUUGACCACCACUACCACACACUGCGGCCUUAUCAAAUUGAUCAACACAGACGGGGUACCAUCCCAUGUUAUGGUACUACACAUAACCCCAUCCGUGAUCGUUAUAGUGAUUGCAAAAUAGUAAAUAAUCAAUUCCUAUAUCGCGCAAGUGACAGGAAAUCACUCGACUUCUGCCGGUCCUAUUAGCAAAGCAUCUACUUGAUAAGGACUCGAAAACAUUACAUAGGUUCCUAGGUUUCAUGCAACUAGGGUUUUAUAACAACUCCUAGCACUUAAUGCACAAGAUAGAUAAAUAACAAUAUAAGUGCAUAAUUUUAAAUCACUGGGUUAUGCACUGGGGCUUGCCUUCACUGGUGAGGCUGGGGUCAGUGAUGUCAGUAUCUUCUGAACAUGGGUUUGGGGCUUCAGAAAGACCCUUGGCGACAUUUACUUGAGCUUCAGAAAUACCCUCGUCGGGUUCCGGGAUUAGCUCGUUGGUACCGUUGGCGAGUGUAGUCAAAUCUACAUGAUAUUCAAUUAUUUGAAGCAAAUGGUUAUUAUUUUGUUUUCAUGAUAAAGUUGCAAUCCAACAAGAAUAUAUUCAAUAUAUCACUUCAAGACUUAACUAAUUUGUACAAACAACAAAAAGAUUUGAAACUAAACUUAAGUAGAGUUUCUGGUGUAAAAACUUUGUUCAAAAUGGUUAUUUGGUGAAGGUUACAGAGCUGAUCUGAUCUACUUAACAGCAUGUUCUUCAGACAGUUUAUCUAGCUGAUUGGGGUGUGCAUCGGAAAAGUCAAUCUGUGCAUACUGGAUCGACUGUGUUUAGCCGAUUGAUGUGUCCUAUAUCGGCUGUGCCUUAGCCGAUACCUGCCUGAGGUGUUAACCUGGGUAACUAUUUCUGCAUGCAUCGGCUUGAUUUUUCUUUGGCAAAAGUAGCCGAUAGAGGUGUAGCCGAUCGAUGUGUAGUCGAUGAGCGUGUGGCCGAUGGGUGUGUAGCUGACGGGCGUGUAUGUUGCAAACAAGACCCUAGAAAGAAAUAGAGACUUGCAUUUGGGUCCCUAAUUGAUUUGAACAGAAGAAGUCGAGCGGCGGCAAUUAAAAUCCGGUGAGGGGACUCACCGGCGGUGAAGGAAAGGUGGGGAAAAAGGUUCAGGAGCUCACAGCGGACUUAGGGUUGGCUGGAAUCAUAGAAGGGAAGCUCGGAGGCGGAGGUUCGACUAGAUAUAGAGCCGGCGCGGUGAGGUUCCGAGGGUGGCGACGGUGUUCCGGCGAUUGGAGUGCAGGAAGGUGAAGGAAAUUGGUCAGGGAGCUUUGGCGUGGAGAUGUGGUGCUGAUGGUGCCCUUGGCGAAGGAGAAGGGGUGGAACUUCGGUUCGACUAGAAUUAGAACGGCGUCAGAAAGUGAGAUCGCAGGCGUGAUGUUCUCGGCUGCGCGUGCGUGGGAGGAGGAAGAAGAGUGGAUCAGGAUGGGGCAAUGAGAUGCGACGGUGCCAGUGGAGCACGAAAUUGGAGAGGAGAAGCGGCAGAGACGGCUGACGGCGGUGGACAGAGGAGCUCCGGCGAAGUAGUCGAGUGGAGAAGAGAACAGGAAUGCGGGUGCCCGCGAGGGGAUAGAAGAAAGGAUAAGUUUACUGGGUGCGUUCCCAAGCUAAAAAGAGGUGUGCGGGUGGGCAGCAAGCAGCUGCUGGUGGUCGACGGCGCGCGUGCCGGCUCAGGCAGGCAGCGCCGCGACGCAUCUGCGCGAGGAGGAGCCAGCGGGGUCGGUUAAGCGGCGGGCGGGCGAGCUGGGGCCAGGUGGCGCAGGAGGAGCGGCGAAGGGGCAGCUAGUGGCUGGGGAAAACGCCCGCGAUGGGCGGUGGGCGGCGCUGCAGAGAAACAGAGAGGGCGAAGCAGGAGGAAGAAGAUGAGGAUCUGUUCGUAAAUUUUGCAAAAGUUCAAGGAGCUCACUGAAAAAUAAAAUUUUCUUCCAAAUUAUAGCGCUAAUGAAAAUAUGCCCAACAUCAAAAGUGUAGAGCUUAAGAAGAUCUACCACUUUGCUUUAGGGUCUAACUUAAAAAGAGUUAGGGUUUUGAAACUACUUUUAAAAAUCAACAACUCAUUCAAUUUCAAAUAAAUCCAAAAUAAGUUUUACCCUUUCAAUGAAGCCUUGGAGUAUUUACACUUCUUACAGUGGUUAAAGAGUGAAAACUCAUAUUUGCAAAUUAACCCUUCAUAUUUUUGAAAUUACCUCCCAUUUAUACACAAUUUAAAAAAGAACCCUAAUUUUUCCCAAUAUUACAAAAAUACCCUUUAACAUGUUUUUAAGUUCUUAAAGGCAUUCAUCGAAACAAACACAAACUUCACACUAACAAGCUCAACUUCAUACUAAAAAUUAGCAUGCCUAGCUCCUAAGUACCUGAAAUGUCACAACCGGCAUCCAGCUUAGGCAACAGGCCGAUGACAGAUAUCUUUCUUACAAAUUCCCCUCCAACAUCCCUCAAUGGAAAAACCACUGGUUUUACAUCGGGAACCAUGUCCCCCA